GUUAUAUUUUGUCUGAAGCCCUUCCUAUGGCUCUUUGCUGUCUGACCACCUAUUUUACUCCGACAGUGCUCUUUGCCGUGAUGUUCUGCCUUACCCUAGACAGCCCUAAAAAAAGCAGUGAAGCCAGAUUCCUACAGACUGAAACCAGGAGCAGAAAUGUGCUGUACACCUAUGGCCCUACAGCCCUACAGCAAGACGGGAGGCAGAGACAGGCAAACUGCUCAGGAGCACGAGGCCAGCUAGCCUGGCAUAUGCAGCAAAGCAGCAGAAGCAACAUGCACUUUCGGAACAAGG
Molecule: long non-coding RNA, 294 nt
Filed under: Cricetulus griseus (Chinese hamster)
Lineage: Eukaryota; Metazoa; Chordata; Mammalia; Rodentia; Cricetidae
Description: lncRNA (ENSCGRG00015041360.1)
Source: RNAcentral